AGCAGCCGCGGUAAUUCCAGCUCCAAUAGCGUAUAUUAAAGUUGUUGCAGUUAAAAAGCUCGUAGUUGAAUUUCGGGAUUGACGUAAUGGUCAUGCCUUAAGGGGUAUGAACUGUUACAGUUGAUUUCUCACCUUCUGGAGAAACUUGAUGUCCUUUAUUGGGUGUCUUGCGGAUCCAGGACCUUUACCUUGAAAAAAUUAGAGUGUUUAAAGCAGGCAUUUUUGCUCGAAUACAUUAGCAUGGAAUAAUAGAAUAGGACGGCAUGGUUCUAUUUUGUUGGUUUCUAGGAUCACCGUAAUGAUUAAUAGGGAUAGUUGGGGGCAUUAGUAUUCAAUUGUCAGAGGUGAAAUUCUUGGAUUUAUUGAAGACUAACUACUGCGAAAGCAUUUGCCAAGGAUGUUUUCAUUAAUCAAGAACGAAAGUUAGGGGAUCGAAGACGAUCAGAUACCGUCGUAGUCUUAACCAUAAACUAUGCCGACUAGGGAUCGGGACGAAGUUAAUUUUAUAAUUGACGCGUUC
RNAcentral lists this ribosomal RNA (520 nucleotides) under uncultured Glomus. Its description in RNAcentral is "SSU rRNA". It matches the Rfam family "Eukaryotic small subunit ribosomal RNA", at positions 569 to 1080 of the family's 1831-position model. The record is from RNAcentral. Lineage: Eukaryota; Fungi; Glomeromycota; Glomeromycetes; Glomerales; Glomeraceae.